GCACCAGUGGUGGAAUGGCAGACACGUACGCUUGAGGGGCGUAUGAAGAGAUUCGUGCAGGUUCAAGUCCUGUCUGGUGCA
This 81-nucleotide transfer RNA is filed under the name Solobacterium sp. RNAcentral's name for it is "tRNA-Leu". It matches the Rfam family "tRNA". Rfam says of the family: Transfer RNA (tRNA) molecules are approximately 80 nucleotides in length. Their secondary structure includes four short double-helical elements and three loops (D, anti-codon, and T loops). RNAcentral also lists the same sequence under 1 other name. Lineage: Bacteria; Bacillati; Bacillota; Erysipelotrichia; Erysipelotrichales; Erysipelotrichaceae. The record is from RNAcentral.